This 74-nucleotide transfer RNA is filed under the name Escherichia coli. Its description in RNAcentral is "tRNA-Arg". It matches the Rfam family "tRNA". Rfam says of the family: Transfer RNA (tRNA) molecules are approximately 80 nucleotides in length. Their secondary structure includes four short double-helical elements and three loops (D, anti-codon, and T loops). Further hydrogen bonds mediate the characteristic L-shaped molecular structure. tRNAs have two regions of fundamental functional importance: the anti-codon, which is responsible for specific mRNA codon recognition, and the 3' end, to which the tRNAs corresponding amino acid is attached (by aminoacyl-tRNA synthetases). tRNAs cope with the degeneracy of the genetic code in two manners: having more than one tRNA (with a specific anti-codon) for a particular amino acid; and 'wobble' base-pairing, i.e. permitting non-standard base-pairing at the 3rd anti-codon position. Lineage: Bacteria; Pseudomonadati; Pseudomonadota; Gammaproteobacteria; Enterobacterales; Enterobacteriaceae. The record is from RNAcentral.
GCGCUGUUAGCUCAGUUGGAUAGAGCAUUUGCCUUCUAAGCAAUUGGUCACUGGUUCGACUCCAGUACAGCGCA